This 397-nucleotide ribosomal RNA is filed under the name Streptococcus agalactiae. RNAcentral describes it as "bacterial SSU rRNA". It matches the Rfam family "Bacterial small subunit ribosomal RNA", at positions 1 to 390 of the family's 1533-position model. Lineage: Bacteria; Bacillati; Bacillota; Bacilli; Lactobacillales; Streptococcaceae. The record is from RNAcentral.
UUAAUGAGAGUUUGAUCCUGGCUCAGGACGAACGCUGGCGGCGUGCCUAAUACAUGCAAGUAGAACGCUGAUGUUUGGUGUUUACACUAGACUGAUGAGUUGCGAACGGGUGAGUAACGCGUAGGUAACCUGCCUCAUAGCGGGGGAUAACUAUUGGAAACGAUAGCUAAUACCGCAUAAGAGUAUUAACACAUGUUAGUUAUUUAAAAGGAGCAAUUGCUUCACUGUGAGAUGGACCUGCGUUGUAUUAGCUAGUUGGUGAGGUAAAGGCUCACCAAGGCGACGAUACAUAGCCGACCUGAGAGGGUGAUCGGCCACACUGGGACUGAGACACGGCCCAGACUCCUACGGGAGGCAGCAGUAGGGAAUCUUCGGCAAUGGACGGAAGUCUGACCGA